RNAcentral lists this ribosomal RNA (439 nucleotides) under Kocuria rosea. Its description in RNAcentral is "partial 23S ribosomal RNA". It matches the Rfam family "Bacterial large subunit ribosomal RNA", at positions 2500 to 2925 of the family's 2925-position model. The record is from RNAcentral. Lineage: Bacteria; Bacillati; Actinomycetota; Actinomycetes; Micrococcales; Micrococcaceae.
CCAUAUCGACGGCAUGGUUUGGCACCUCGAUGUCGGCUCGUCGCAUCCUGGGGCUGGAGUUGGUCCCAAGGGUUGGGCUGUUCGCCCAUUAAAGCGGUACGCGAGCUGGGUUCAGAACGUCGUGAGACAGUUCGGUCCCUAUCCGCUGCGCGCGCAGGAAAUUUGAGAAGACCUGUCCUUAGUACGAGAGGACCGGGACGGACGAACCUCUGGUAUGGCAGUUGUACCGCCAGGUGCACCGCUGCUUCGCUACGUUCGGAAGAGAUAACCGCUGAAAGCAUCUAAGCGGGAAGCUCGCUUCGAGAUGAGAUUUCCAUGCACCUAGUGUGUGAGAGGCCCCCAGCUAGACCACUGGGUUGAUAGGCCGGAGGUGGAAGCACGAACCAACGACGUGUGCAGCCGACCGGUACUAAUAAGCCGACAACUUACACCACACCCC